GUUCUUGAAAUUUAAAAAAUUUGGCGGUAUUUUAGUCUAUUUAGAGGAGUCUGCCCUGUAAUUGAUAAUCCACGAUUUAUUGUACUUAAAUUAAAAGUUUAUAUAUCGUCGUAGUUGAAUACCUUAGGAGAGUUAAAGUAUUCAAUAUUUAUAAUAUAUAAUUUAAAUCAGAUCAAGAUAUAGCUUAUAUUUAAGAAGAGGUGGGUUACAAUAAAUUUUUAUUUAUAGUUAUUAUAAUUAAAAUUGUAAUUUAAAUUGGAUUUGAAAGUAAUUUAUUUUAAUUAAAAUAAAUGAUUUAAGCUCUAAAAUAUGCACAUAUCGCCCGUCGCUUCCAAUGAAAAUUUAAAUUGGAAUAAGUCGUAACAUAGUAGAUGUACCGGAAGGUGUAUCUAGUUUUCAAGUUAAAGCUUAAUAGAAGUUUUUUAUUUACAUUAAAAAGAUAAUUGUGAAAUUCAAUUUAAUUUGAAUUUAAAAAUUUAUUUAAAAUAUUUAUUUAAAAAAUAUAUUUAAAAAAAGUAUUUUUAUAUUUAUUUAUAAAUUUAGAUAAAAUUAUUUAUAAUUAUAGUUUAUUAUGUAUAGUAAUAGAAUAUUGAAAGAUUAAAAAUUAAAAUAUUUUAAAGAAAAAUUUAUUUUUUGUACCUUGUGUAUCAGGGUUUAUUUAAUAAUAAUUAUAUAUUAUAAUUUUCUCGAAUUUAAAAGAGUUAAGAAAUUAUAAAUUUUAUUGUAAAAUAAAUAUUUAAAAUAAUUUUUUAGUAAUGAAACGUUAUUCGUUUUUAAAUAUAUCUAGUUUUUUAAGAAAUAAAUUUAAUUUAGUUAUUUAUUUAAAUAAAAAUAAUUUUUUAUUUUUGAAUUUAUAUAUUUAAUUAAUAUUUUAAGGGAUAAGCUUUAAAGUAAAAUUUUAUAAAUUGAAAAUUUUAAAAAUAUAAAUUAAUAGGAUUAGAAUUUUUUAUUUUUUAUAGUAUGUUAUAAUAAAUUUAUAUUUAAAUUUAAUUUUUAUAUAAUUUUAAAUUUUUUAUUAAAAUUAUUUAUUUAAUAUAAAAUUAUAUGUAAUAAUGAUAAAAUUAGUAUAAUUAAAUUUUUAAAUUUUAAUGUAUAAUUAAUUUUAGAAUUAAAGGUUAAAUUAAGGAAUUCGGCAAAAAUUUUUUCUGCCUGUUUAUUAAAAACAUGUCUUUUUGAUUAUAAUUUAAAGUCGGGCCUGCUCAAUGAAAUUUAAAUAGCCGCGGUAUUUUGACCGUGCAAAGGUAGCAUAAUAAUUAGCUUUUUAAUUAAGAGCUAGAAUGAAUGGUUUGACAAGAAAAAAACUGUCUCAAUUUAAUUUAAAUUAGAAUUUUAUUUUUAAGUUAAAAAGCUUAAAUAUUUUUAAAAGACGAGAAGACCCUAUAGAGUUUUAUAAUAUAAUUAUUUAUUUAAAAUUUAGGUAUUUUAUAAUUAUAUAUAAUUAAUUAUAUUAUUAAGCUUUGGGUGAUUAAAAAAUUAAAUUAACUUUUUUUAUAUUUAA
Molecule: ribosomal RNA, 1498 nt
Filed under: Lepanus sp. NT5
Lineage: Eukaryota; Metazoa; Arthropoda; Insecta; Coleoptera; Scarabaeidae
Also listed under: 1 other name
Description: partial large subunit ribosomal RNA
Source: RNAcentral